Molecule: long non-coding RNA, 886 nt
Organism: Clupea harengus (Atlantic herring)
Lineage: Eukaryota; Metazoa; Chordata; Actinopteri; Clupeiformes; Clupeidae
Source: Ensembl
UUCACAUGUCUAGGGACAGACGAGGACACGAGGGCCUUAAUCCCGUGGCGGUCGGUGCACAAAUCCCUCUUCACGGGGAAGAGGAACGCCUCCGUGACUGGAUUUGAGGUCUUCAUAAAGGAGAGCGGGCUUGGGAGGUUGGAUCCCAAGCUCGUGAAAAAGAGGUGGGAGAACCUCAUCCACAAAUAUAAGGAGCUCAAGAAACCCCGGACGGGUGUGAGCACAGAGGGGGGUGGGGUCACUGCUGCUUCUUGGAAGUGGUAUGCACUUAUGGAUGAGGCACUGGGGACCAGGCCAUCUGUGACCCCUCCAGUCCUCUUUGCCUCAUCCAGCCGGGAAGUGGCAGGGACCCCCCCCCCCCCCCCCCCCCCCCGCUGUGGUCACACCCCUCCCAAUCAGGAAUUUGAGUGGAGCUUCCUCCACAUUGUCAACCCCAAAAAGGCGGAGGGUAGACAAUGUGGAGGUUGCCAGGGUCAUAGAGGAAAAUGACAGGAGGAUCUCUGAGGCAUGGGCAGAGAUGGAACAGAGGCAGAGGAGGCCAGGGCGAGCGAGGCAAGAGAGUUUGCAGAGAGAGAGGAGCGGCGACACGGGGAGGCGGUUGCCUUAGAGGAGAGGAGGUUCAACUUUCUCAGAGAGAGUGAGGAGAGGAGGGAAAGAGAGGCAGCCGCCAGAGAGAGGGAGACAGCAGCAGAGAGGAGGGAGACGGCAGCGAGAGAGGAGCGGCGAGAGAGGGAGACAGCCGCCAGAAUGAGUGAGGCAGCUGCCAGAGAGGAGCGCCUCCUCACCCUUUUGGAGAGAAUUUCUGGACAAAAAUAAAGCCUGGUUACUUAAGAUUUAUGUACAUGUCUGUUUACUAACACUUAACCCGUAGGGGGCUGAGGCCUGU